Molecule: non-coding RNA, 139 nt
Filed under: unclassified sequences
Description: poplar-1 RNA
Rfam family: poplar-1 RNA
About the family: metagenome only. Environment (Groundwater, Oak Ridge)
Source: Rfam by way of RNAcentral
UUGAAGCCGAGGGGCUCUGCGGAAACGACAGAUCUGCGCCGAUCCGAAACGCUAGCAAACAGCCCGCAUCAUGUCGUCUCCUAACUUCGACGUGGUGAAAUACUGAGCUUAUGCGAGUAAGCCUGUUAGCAGUAGCAAA